GCCCGGGUGGCGAAAUGGCAGACGCAACGGACUUAAAAUCCGUUAUCCUUGUGAUGUGUGGGUUCGAGUCCCACCCCGGGUACCA
RNAcentral lists this transfer RNA (85 nucleotides) under Lentisphaerota bacterium. RNAcentral describes it as "Lentisphaerae bacterium (invertebrate metagenome) tRNA-Leu". It matches the Rfam family "tRNA". From Rfam's summary of the family: Transfer RNA (tRNA) molecules are approximately 80 nucleotides in length. Lineage: Bacteria; Pseudomonadati; Lentisphaerota. The record is from RNAcentral. RNAcentral also lists the same sequence under 1 other name.